Non-coding RNA from Gracilariopsis chorda, 92 nucleotides. The record is from the annotation of a GenBank genome assembly. NCBI's taxonomy places the organism in Eukaryota, Rhodophyta, Florideophyceae, Gracilariales, Gracilariaceae.
GCCGUAUUAGCUCAGUGGCUAGAGCAAUGGUCUUACAUUUCGUUCCCCGAUGAGCGCGCCAUGGGUCCCAAGUUCGAACCUUGGAUGCGGUA